RNAcentral lists this ribosomal RNA (576 nucleotides) under uncultured bacterium. RNAcentral's name for it is "partial 16S ribosomal RNA". It matches the Rfam family "Bacterial small subunit ribosomal RNA", at positions 355 to 920 of the family's 1533-position model. The record is from RNAcentral.
UGGGGAAUAUUGCACAAUGGGCGCAAGCCUGAUGCAGCCAUGCCGCGUGUGUGAAGAAGGCCUUCGGGUUGUAAGCACUUUCAGCGAGGAGGAAGGUGGUGAGCUUAAUACGCUCAUCAAUUGACGUUACUCGCAGAAGAAGCACCGGCUAACUCCGUGCCAGCAGCCGCGGUAAUACGGAGGGUGCAAGCGUUAAUCGGAAUUACUGGGCGUAAAGCGCACGCAGGCGGUUUGUUAAGUCAGAUGUGAAAUCCCCGGGCUCAACCUGGGAACUGCAUUUGAAACUGGCAAGCUAGAGUCUCGUAGAGGGGGGUAGAAUUCCAGGUGUAGCGGUGAAAUGCGUAGAGAUCUGGAGGAAUACCGGUGGCGAAGGCGGCCCCCUGGACGAAGACUGACGCUCAGGUGCGAAAGCGUGGGGCAGCAAACAGGAUUAGAUACCCUGGUAGUCCAGCGCUGUAAACGAUGUCGAUUUGGAGGUUGUGCCCUUGAGGCGUGGGCUUCCGGAGCUAACGCGUUAAAUCGACCGCCUGGGGGAGUACGGCCGCAAGGUUAAAACUCAAAUGAAUUGACGGGGUC